This 253-nucleotide ribosomal RNA is filed under the name uncultured bacterium. RNAcentral's name for it is "partial 16S ribosomal RNA". It matches the Rfam family "Bacterial small subunit ribosomal RNA", at positions 524 to 776 of the family's 1533-position model. The record is from RNAcentral.
UACGGGGGAUGCAAGCGUUAUCCGGAAUCAUUGGGUGUAAAGCGCCUGUAGGUUGUUUGAUAAGUCUGUUGUUAAAGCCUAGGGCUUAACCCUAGAAAAGCGAUGGAAACUACCAGACUAGAGUAUGGAAGGGGUAGAGGGAAUUUCUAGUGUAGCGGUGAAAUGCGUAGAUACUAGAAAGAACACCAGAGGCGAAAGCGCUCUACUGGGCCAGUACUGACACUCAGAGGCGAAAGCUAGGGUAGCAAAAGGG